RNAcentral lists this ribosomal RNA (410 nucleotides) under uncultured microorganism. RNAcentral describes it as "bacterial SSU rRNA". It matches the Rfam family "Bacterial small subunit ribosomal RNA", at positions 509 to 917 of the family's 1533-position model. The record is from RNAcentral.
CAGCCGCCGCGGUAAUACGGAGGGCGCGAGCGUUGUCCGGAUUCACUGGGCGUAAAGCGGGUGUAGGCGGUCCCUUAAGUCUGAUGUGAAAGCCCACGGCUCAACCGUGGAGGGUCAUUGGAAACUGGGGGACUUGAGUGCAGAAGAGGAGAGCGGAAUUCCACGUGUAGCGGUGAAAUGCGUAGAGAUGUGGAGGAACACCAGUGGCGAAGGCGGCUCUCUGGUCUGUAACUGACGCUGAGGCGCGAAAGCGUGGGGAGCAAACAGGAUUAGAGACCCUGGUAGUCCACGCCGUAAACGAUGAGUGCUAAGUGUUAGAGGGGUUAAACCCUUUAGUGCUGUAGCUAACGCGUUAAGCACUCCGCCUGGGGAGUACGGCCGCAAGGUUGAAACUUAAAGGAAUUGGCGGG